Long non-coding RNA from Homo sapiens (human), 1662 nucleotides. RefSeq lists it as uncharacterized. The record is from RefSeq and is a predicted model, not a curated record. The transcript is spliced from 3 exons. NCBI's taxonomy places the organism in Eukaryota, Metazoa, Chordata, Mammalia, Primates, Hominidae.
CUGUCUUUCUUUUUCUUUUUCUCUCUGUCUCUGUCUCUAUUCUGUGCUCAAGGACUACCCCAAAAGCAAGUGACAUACUUGCAGGGUCGUCUUUCCUUACUUGCCCCCAAGGAUAGGGGUCUUUGGCAUCUGAAGGACUGCUGGUCAGGGAGCAGGGUCAGGAGCCAUCCGUGACACACCAAAGGGCACUUUGCGUGUCACCGCGGGCCAUGUGAGGAUUACAGUGGGUAGACUGUGUCAUUAUUCAUAAUUUAAAUGUUUAUUUUUCCUCUAAAUUAUAAGCUUCUGGUGUAGAUAGUAAAGUGUACUCUUUAUAACUCUAAUUCAAUGUUUGCUGUAAAUGAAUGGAUAAGUGUAAUCUUUGUUUGCUGAAGUUUGUCAUAUAGGACUGCUGUGGAUUGGCUUUGUUUGUUUUGAAACGUUCCCUUAACGUUCUCUGUGGUGUUGAGAUUUAUCAGGAGCACAGAAUGUUUCUUGUGUCACUUGGUGAAUUUGGCUGGACAUAUUUUUAUUUUGGACAUAUUUUUGAAAAUCAAACUGUAGGUCCAUGAUUUUAAAACACUCUUCAGUUUUGCUGUUGUUUUUGGCUUCCAGAGACAAGACUGAUAGCAGCAUGCUUUGGAAUGUGUGUCAUUGUCUUUAGGAUUCCAAGAUUCUGCCAUCGCUGCUGCUGCCGUCCAUGUGUCUGUGAUGGCUGGUGGGAACAGCACUUUCCUUUUGUGGGAAGAUGGUGUGGUGUGCAGUAGUGGUCACUGUUGGAGAGAUGUUUAUGUCUUGUACAUGAAGAGCUGCUCUCCCUCUGAUAGCUGCCUGCCAAGCGGCUCCAUCCAUCAUUGAGAGCGGGCACCACACGGCUCACUGCCCCAAGCAUCUUAGACUAAACACCAGCUAGAAUGUGGAGUUAGGCAAUCAAGUGUGAAACUUAACUUGUACUUGUCUUAGAAGCAGCAAAGGCAGCUGGGCCAGCUGAUAGACAAGGAACGCUGUCCUCCCAGAACCAGCCACGGGUGCAGAUGAUGGGCACUGCGGAGCCUGCUGUCUUACAGAAGCUGAUCCUGGAGGGUGCCUUUCAAUCCUCGAUGUCAGGAGGUUUUCUUUUAGAAAACAAUCUGAUUCAGAAUAAUGACUGCAAUUUUUCACUGGAUGGAAAACAAGUCUAGAGGAAUUGACCCUUAUUUUAAGUUCAAAGAUAGUAUAUCCUUGUUACUACUGUUACAUGUUUUAUAGCCAAUCUUCAAGACCACCUCUGGGCAAUGAAGUUAUUUGUGAUGGAAACACUUAGGUUCUUGAUUAAGUGAAUAUUAAAAAAAAAUCACUAUCAGAGAAAAGUAUACCUGAUACAAUGACUAGAACUGAAAAAUUAUGAACAAAUAGCAAAACAAUUAGUACUAUUUGACAAAAAGAAGUAAUCACCAAUAUAAAACUUUGGUAUGAUGUUCUAAACAUACGAAUAUCCACUUUUUAGCCAAACAUAAUGAUGCUUCUUUUGACACUGACUAUCCAACAUUUCUUGAGAAGAGUGGAUAGUUUCUAAGUCUAGAAGACAUGAUUUUGGAAUUUGAAGCUAGAAUGUCUGAACAUGUAGUACAGAUUAAAAAAAAACAAAUUAAAACUAUCUAGAAUGGCAAAAUAAAAAUGAAAUUAUCUUUUAAUGCAUAAUGA